RNAcentral lists this ribosomal RNA (253 nucleotides) under uncultured bacterium. Its description in RNAcentral is "partial 16S ribosomal RNA". It matches the Rfam family "Bacterial small subunit ribosomal RNA", at positions 524 to 776 of the family's 1533-position model. The record is from RNAcentral.
UACGUAGGGGGCUAGCGUUGUCCGGAAUCAUUGGGCGUAAAGCGCGUGUAGGCGGCUCGGUAAGUCCGCUGUGAAAGUCCAGGGCUCAACCCUGGGAUGCCGGUGGAUACUGUCGGGCUCGAGUCCGGAAGAGGCGAGUGGAAUUCCUGGUGUAGCGGUGAAAUGCGCAGAUAUCAGGAGGAACACCAAUGGCGAAGGCAGCUCGCUGGGACGUGACUGACGCUGAGACGCGAAAGCGUGGGGAGCGAACAGG